AGGGAAAAUGAACAAGAUAUAGUGGUCUGCGAGGCAAACGUCGCUUGGUUAUAGCGGGGGUGGCUCGGUCGGGCGAAUAGGGGUUAAGUAAGCCCGCUGCAGGGGUUUUCCCCUUACGUGCUGAAUAACCCCACUUCAGCGGUAUCACGUUCUCGUCUUCUUCCAUUUACUGACACGUAUGGUUGGCGCUAAACAUCGUAGGUACGUGAACAAGAAUUCCAUGAUACAGUAAAUAGUUUUCAUUCAUAUUUUUAUGUGGUAAGAUGACAAACAUUUUUUUACAAAUAAAUUACUAUUUCCUGAUAAAACAGAUUAAAGCAGACGAUUACAGCCAUGUUUAACAACUACCAAAGGAAUCGUUUAAAAUGAGAAUAAAAAACACUCCUUUCCUUUGACCGACGACUAAGGUCAAGUUACACGGAGGUGGGAGUCGAACCAUGGUAGCCAGAGUGGGGUACCGAUAGAGGGGUUGAUGGUACAGCGUACCACUAUUGGAAAGCGUUGGUCCGCGUCCAGCCAUGGAAGGGAUCUCUGAAAAAGAAAGAGAUCGCAACAUUAGGGGAAUAAGAAAGGGUAGAGGAGAGUUCGUAAGGCAGAAGGAGAGAGGGCGCAGCACAGCUGGGUCGAACGCGAUCAUGGUAGGGGAAGUCGGUGUCCUCGGAGUCCUCGUUCACACGAGUCACGAGCGUUGCCGUCCGUCAGUACGGCGCGGAACGCGUUCCUGUUUGUCUCGUUGUGUGGAGUCGGUGUCGCGCGUGCCAGUUCUACAGCUUCUCUCCUUCUUUCUCUGUCAGACUACGCAUUUCUUUGUUCAUUAUCGUCGAUCAAGCAGAGAAAGAGAACGACGCGACUGCACGCUGCCGUGUAACACACGUGUGAUAUUGUGGGUAGUUGGUGUGGUGCGACAGGAUGCGGUACAAUGACCGUAAAUGAGUAAUCGACGUCCCUGCGAGAACCGGUUGGAAGGACGAGGAUCACGGCGGAAAGGACGCCCGUGGCAGGACUUCAACCUCUGUGCAUAGGGGUAGGAUCGAUCGGCCGUGAGGACGAAGAAGAGCUGCCG
Molecule: long non-coding RNA, 1063 nt
Organism: Bombus impatiens (common eastern bumble bee)
Lineage: Eukaryota; Metazoa; Arthropoda; Insecta; Hymenoptera; Apidae
Exons: 3
Source: RefSeq, a predicted model, not a curated record